UGCCCAGACUCCUACGGGAGGCAGCAGUGGGGAAUAUUGCGCAAUGGGGGAAACCCUGAUGCAGCGACGCCGCGUGAGCGAUGAAGUAUUUCGGUAUGUAAAGCUCUAUCAGCAGGGAAGAAAAUGACGGUACCUGACUAAGAAGCCCCGGCUAACUACGUGCCAGCAGCCGCGGUAAUACGUAGGGGGCAAGCGUUAUCCGGAAUUACUGGGUGUAAAGGGAGCGUAGACGGUGAUGCAAGUCUGGAGUGAAAGGCGGGGGCCCAACCCCCGGACUGCUCUGGAAACUGUAUGACUUGAGUGCAGGAGAGGUAAGCGGAAUUCCUAGUGUAGCGGUGAAAUGCGUAGAUAUUAGGAGGAACACCAGUGGCGAAGGCGGCUUACUGGACUGUAACUGACGUUGAGGCUCGAAAGCGUGGGGAGCAAACAGGAUUAGAUCCCCCUGUA
Molecule: ribosomal RNA, 447 nt
Filed under: uncultured bacterium
Lineage: Bacteria
Description: bacterial SSU rRNA
Rfam family: Bacterial small subunit ribosomal RNA
Source: RNAcentral